RNAcentral lists this long non-coding RNA (1346 nucleotides) under Prunus dulcis (almond). RNAcentral's name for it is "sRNA ncRNA". The record is from RNAcentral. Lineage: Eukaryota; Viridiplantae; Streptophyta; Magnoliopsida; Rosales; Rosaceae.
CUAACCCAAUCACCACGAAUUCUAUAAAAAGACCCCCUCAUCUUCUCCCAAAAGACCAUUUUCAUUUCUUCACGACAAAAUCUCAAUACUUUUUCUCAUUUAUUUUCCCUUUCUCUCUCUAACUCCCCAUUUCUGUGUUGAGAAAAGCUGCCUGGGUGCUUAGGCUAGAACUGGCUAACUCUCAGGAAACUCUGGAAGACAGUGAUUCCAGUAAUAGAAGGGUGGUGCUCGCCCUCUAUGAAGCCCUGAGCUCGCGUGACGUACGCACGGUGCACCAGAUUGUAGCUCCGGACAUCGAGUGGUGGUUCCAUGGUCCGCCGACCCACCAGUUCUUGAUGCGCCUCCUCACCGGCGACCAAAACGAAUCGUUUCAAUUCAGUCCCCAGUCCAUCGACUGCUUCGGGCCCACCGUCCUCGUCGAAGGCUGCGACCGAGAUUGCUCCAUCUCGUGGGUCCACGCUUGGACCGUCACUCAUGGGAUAGUCACCCAGGUCAGGGAGUACUUCAACACUUCCCUCACCGUAACCCGCCUCGGUAACAACACCUCUCCCUCUUCCUCCGCUCAAUCCUCGCCGUCCAGCUUCUCUUCCAAGUCCUCCUCAUCGACGGCCGAGAUUACAUCGUUCCAUUGCCCGUCCGUUUGGGAGAGCAGCGUCUCCGAUCGGGUCGGGAAGUCCGUGCCGGGUCUGGUCCUCGCAAUCUAAAGACCACAAUAAUCCCCUGCGGGCCCCUGUGCAGCGGGAUUCUACUUUAAGUAUUUACUAAUUACUAAAUAAGAGGGUGCUGACGUGUAGGCACCUUAUGGGCUGAAUCUACUGUGAAAUUGCGGUGCCGUAGUAGAAAUGUAAGCCCCUUGCUAUGUGUUGUUUGGUUUGUUUGUGGUUGUUUUUGCGUUUUAGUUUGUUUUUGGUUGUUUGUGUCUCUGGUUCUGGUGUUGGGUGGAGCCAAUGGGGUUGAGGAAACUCUUUUGGUCAUAUCCUGAAGCGUCUGUAGAAUUAUGGUACUCUCCUUUUUCAAUAAAGACGUGUUUGUUUAAUAUCCUUUGGUGGUUUUGGAUUCUUUACGAAUAUGCUAAGGUUUUUUAUUUUCGUAUCCUACAGAUAUAUAUUAUAUAGGCUUAAGCCAAGUAUAAACCCAUAUACAGGAGGUCAAAAAACUAGGUUGAAGAACCAGUUCCGCAGAAGCUGGGUCAGUCUGUCACAGACUCGCAGAGUAAACUGUUUGUAUUAUUAAUGAAGAGUUGCAGAUACAGUGCCACCUCUCUCAUCUUUUGGUAAAUGAACUGCAUUGACUUGUCGUUUAGCCAGUGAGGAUGGAGGAUUUGAAAGUUACAUAGUAAAUUCGUG